UGUAAUGGACGAUCUUCAAAACUGACUCAAGUACAGCAAGCAGUGGCGUCCCCAGAAAAUUUUAAUAGGGGUGGCCAGAUAAGGUCACAGUAAAUCUUGGGGUGGCACACUGAAAUAAAGAAAUAAAAAAAUAAAAUAAUUAAAAGUUCCACUUAAUGUGUGUUAUACAUAUUUACUUUUGUUUCUGGUUAAUGUAAUAAUAUGAUUUUAAUAACCAAUUAAUUACUUACUCUUUAAAUAGUGUAGGUCUUUUAAAUAAUUAUACAUCAGCAAAUAUAUGGACAAAACCAAAAAAAAGGGACAAUAUUUAGUUUAAAUCACUUUACAGUCCAAUUAUUUUCUACAUACUUUUAUUGUACAAAAACAUAGGACAGGCCAUGUCUAAAAUUAAUAAAGAACAACUGAACAAAAUGUUUUAAUAUAUAGACAAUGAACAUUUUAACAAAGCGUACUCACAACCAAUCUAUAUUCCUGUUUUAUUAGGCCACAAACUUAUCAAUACAGCUUUAUAGACAAAUAUAGCAUUUAGGCCAUGUCUAAAGUGAAUAAAGAAAAACAAAAUUCAUUAGUAUAUAGACGAUGUGCUUUUUAAGAGGUCAUUCAUAACCAAUCCAUAUUCCUGUUUUAUUAGGCCACAAACGUAUCAGUACAGUUUUAUUCUUCUAUUGCUGUGUCUUUUUGCAAACACAUCCACAAAAUCAUCAAGAUUUAUGGCCCUUGCCCUUCUUGACUCUACACUUAACACCCCCAAAUUGCUCAAUUGUUCAUCACUCAUUGUGUUUCUCAAGACCGUCUUGAUCAUCUUUAGCACAGAAAAACAGGGAAUAUGUUUUCUAAAACAUGGCAGACUGCUGUUACUUGGGGUAUUGGCAGUGUCAUUUCUCUGGAUGCCUCACGUUGGGAUCAAAUGAGGAUGAGUUUCAACUCAUGGAUUAAAGAAAAAAAAAAUGAACUGAAUCGACGUUUGAUGCACAGGCCGACAGACUGGCGGAUAUUUAACAACCCCCAUUUUACAUCUGGUCCCCCUCUCAAUUUCACUUGAGUUUAGAAUGAUGGCAGCCCAGAAAGGUCAAACCUUACCAGAUUGUAAAACAACACUAAUCAUCCUGGCCAGCCCAUUUCCCACACUGACAUCCCCUAAUUUGUUACCAGCCGAUUCAAAGCGCUGCCAGCCACAAGCAGUGUUUGGCUUCUCUUUUCUGCUAAAUAAAAAUAAGGGAGGAUGGUGAAGGGAGUUGUGGAGGAGGGCUGAAAGCAUUUCAUCAACACUGUUGUCUCUGCUGCUAAAGAGAAGGGCACUCUUUAUGUAAAAUUUAUAUGGUCUGUCUUGUAAAUGUCCUUUGGAUGUGACACUUUAGCUCGUCACUUGAUACCAAUCUGUAGGACUAGUGUCCUCCUGUCUAAAACAGGUCUCUCCUGUCUGUUCUUGAGUACAGAUGAGACGUGCCCACUUCUUAACCCCCAAUUCCUCUCAGAAAUGGCAGACCCAGUCCAUGUUUACGGGAAUUUCAUCUUCUUUGAGAGACAGCCGGCUUUGGUUUUGUUGUGAAUAAUUGCAUUAUGACAUUGAUAAAUAUGAACAGGAUAUUAAACUUGCUGCACGAGGUCUGGACACAGAACAGGAAAACAGACAAGGUGUGUUUACUGUGAAUUGAUUCUAGAAGGGCUGCUUUGCCAGACACAGAUUAAACCUAAUAGAGAGCUAAAUGGGACAUUUGAUGGAGAAUCCACAUUGACAAUAUCAUUUUCUCUGGGACAAAGUUUAAUGUGUCCCCAUUAAGAGCAGAAAAAAAAGAUCUAUUGACCAUGACAGAGGUAGCAAAAUCAACAGCAGAAUACCUUUAGGAAAUAAUACUAUACUUAAUAAUGACAUAGUGCUUUUCUCAUGAUGAAAAUAUUCCUUCUUACUACCACUUGCGACUCAAUUCAAUUUUCUCAAUGGUAUCUGCAAUGACCUAUCCUCUAAUUCAAUUUCCUCAAAUAGUAAGUAGCCUUCUGUCCAGGCCUAGCUAACAAGAUCCAUAUGAUGUCAGGCUCAAGGCAGAGAUAAAACACUGUAGAAAAGAGAGAGUUGAGAUUAUUAUAGAAAAUCCACCCAUUUAACAAGGCAUUCAUCAAAAAGAGAAAUAUUAAAGAUAAUUAGACUUUGAUUAAGACCAGGCAGAGGCAGGACUAUAGAUAAUGGGACUUAGUGAAUGAGCGCUACAUGAGUGUCCUCACUGAAGCAUCUCCAAGAAUGUGGUACUCACAAUCAGAUGAGCUUCUUUUGGAGAGACCUCUAGGCAAUGUCCAGCUUUCCUAUUCAAACCAGUCAGACAUGCUUUCUCUCUGACCCAGAUGGCUGGAAUCAUCAUUGUGUAUAGAUGCUGUCAACAGACUUUCAACAGAACAAGGCCAUGAUUCAUUCAUAGUCUUGUGUGUUGACUGGAAGUUACAUCAGCACAUUUGGAUAACAAACAGUCAGAUGUUUCUGAUGUACUAUUCUAAAAUAAUAUCAGCACACAUGGAAAGUAUUAACAUAUAUACUCGUCUGUUGUCCACACUGAUGUUCAGUCUGAAUUGUUCACAUAUAUGUCAAAAUGUAACUAUUAUUUACUAAAUUAACUAAAUAUAAGUUUAUUUCUCAAAAUAUCAAAUUAUGUUUUAUGUAUUCAUAUUUUUUUAACAGUUCCAUUUAAACGUAUUUAAUUUAUUUAUUCAUUUUCAUUCAAUGUAGUCAUACAUACUUUUUUUUUUUUUUAAACGUUAUGAAUGUCUUUAAUUAAUAACCCUGAUGGUCAGUAAACCACACCAAAUGGAAAGUUAAUGUGAAUUAUGUACUAGUGUAUAAAUAUAAGUAAAUUCAAAAGUCCUAAUCUAAUAUACUUCCAGCACAUUUACAGGGUAACUACAUUAAGAAUUAAAAAUGUAAUAAAUAAACACAUCUUACCAUGUGUGUUCAGUCUGAGCAUUGGCAUUUCAAAAUAAGCUUUCUGUAAAGGUUUAAAAUAUGUGAACACUGAGUAUCUGAGUGAUAAAUCCAUUUUUUUUUCUCCUUACUCUGAUCCCCUGCAUCCUUUAAUCCAGUGUCCCGCAUCCAAGCUAGUGACAGUGAUGAAAAUGAACAGGACUUCUAAUCAAGUAGCUCCUCAUUUUAUAUUGUGUAUGUCUUAAAAUGCAAUUUUGUAAUUCAUUAUUGAUAUUAUAAUACAGCAGUGUGAAUAAACAAACAAGGAGAAAUGUAAUAUUUUGCAGAAUAUGAAUUUUGAUAUGGCAGAAUAAGUAAGAGAUUGCACAGGACAUAUCUGUGCACUGGACGGGCAACACCUGCUAGUGCUACAAAUGUUGCAACAUAGCUGGUAUGAGUGCAGGUAAUGAAUGAAAUCUUUAAAAGAUAUAUUGUAUUAUUAUUAUUUGUUAUUCUUACUGUAGGUAAAUAUUGUGUUUGUGUUUUAGAUAGUUUGCCUGACUCACAUGUGUUUUGGGCUGCAGUGUUUGCAUAUUAGUAAAUAUAGACUGAUGUAAUAAUAUUCCCUAAUUUGUAAAUGUAAACAAAUGCUCUCGUUAUUUUUUUUUUCUAAUUGAAGCUAGUGUAGGCCGCCUACUUUUCAUGGUGAAGUUAAAUUAUACAGUUUAUUUGAUUUACAAAAUGUAUGUAUGCUUUAAUGGCAAUGAGGCAUUAUUGGAUACAUUCAUCAUCACAUAUCCUUUAUUUUUUAUUUAGAAAAAAAAUAUAUAAAUAUAUUAUAUACAAUGUGCUGAAAACAUGUUUUUUGUUUUGUUUUUUCCAAGUUUUAUUCACCUGACAUUUUUCCAUCAAUCUUCAAUUAAGUGAUUGCUUUGUAAGUUGCACAUAAUCACUGACAACCCAAAAUGGUCGUUUGUGAUCAUGAGGGUAAAGAUCAAUUGUUAAUUUAGCUUAGCCACGUGUAUCCCAAGUCACCUGUUGUUUUAUCCAGACCGAAUUAAACACAGAGGCCACAAAUAAGGUCUUGAGACCUUGAUAGAUUGAACUCAUUUGAGUGUCCCUGAAAGUAAUUAAAUGAUCAAGUUGUUUUGUUUUGGUUCCCUUUGAGAAUGCGGGCAAAAAUUCAGUUGGGCUGGCCAAAGCAUUUGUGUCACAUAUGUGGGCAUUUCAGUCAAGAUCAAUGCCAGUAUAACACAACAUACCUUUUUAAUGGCAUUGAAAAGUGCAGAUCUUUAGAUUUUGUGUCAUUUGCUACAUUGUGCCUUUGACCCCUUUCAUUGGGGGAGCUGACCAGUUUAAGGACGUCUUUUAUAAGAAGAUCCAUUAGACUAAAACCACCUUCCAGACAAAAAAAAAAACAAAGAGCUUGAACAUCUGUGACCAAUCUGGACCCAGACCUUUAACCUCUGUUGCCACUGACAUAAUUAAAGCUGGUAACUAGGUUACUUAAAUGGAUCAGUUUCCAUCUUACAUAUGUGACACAUAUGGGUGGUACAUAGUAAUUAACUAACAGUGUUGCUAGUGGCUUUUCUUAAAACAUUACAUCCACAGACUUAUGUGUGUUUAACAGAAAGCAAUAAUGACGUUGUAGUUAUGUCUGAUUGGAUAUUACAUAAUACUUGUCUAGAUCAAUCUUUUUCGAGAUGUUAACCUUGUAUCAUAAACAAACAAUUACUGUAUGUUUAUUUAUCACAAAGAUAUAAAGACUUCUGUAAGACAUUCCAUUUCACAGACUUACACACGUGCAUAUCAUGUCCACACACAUGCAUGUACUUGCACACAAUUACAUAGUGUUUUACUUUAAAUCACUGUUACAAAUCCAAAUCACUAUGGUGAAUUUCAAAUAUGAUUUGAGCCAUCUUGCUGUGCUGCUGUGAUGAAUUUAUUUUACCAUCUGGUUCAGUUUCACCCUUAUAAGCUUUCCUCUGAGACACCAACUGUAUGUUUAUUGGAUAGUUUCACUCUGCUGUGGAAACUGAGAACAUGACACAGGUGUUGACAAAUGUUGCAAAUAUGCUGAAGGGGCAUAAAACACAACUGAGAAACAAGAACAAAGCUGGAAAGCUUAAAAAACAUGUUUUUGCUCAUUUCAUUGACGGAAGGCAUUUACUGUAAAUCGUGAUAUAUAUGAGCUUUCUAGUUUAGAUAAGACAAGAAAAGAAUAAUAAAAAAAAAAAAUCAGUCAUAAGAGUACAAAUCGCCUCUUAGCACAGUGAUUUGCAUGUAGCGUGUGUUUAAGUGCAGAGACAAAGAGACAAAUACAUACACUGAAAUACAAGAUUCUUUUUCCAUGAGACAGGGCACAGCAGUCAGCAAUCAGCUAACAGAGGCUCGAAUGAGUUUUCACCUCUCCAUCAUCUGCCUGUUGAAAUAACAGUAGGAUGAGAGGCAUUAUGAACAGUAGAUUAACACCAGUAUAGUUUGCAUAGCAGCCCUGUGCUCCAAUAAUGAGAAACACAGAGAUGAGAGAGCCACCUGAAUGAAUCUGAACUAAAUUGACCGAGAGCAGCCAGAGGCUUUCCCUUUGUCCUUCCUCUUUGUUUGCUAUGUUUUGACAAGCUAGAGCAUAAAAGCCAUGCAAAUGGUGUGUGUCGUCUGUGCGUGUGGGACAAGAGAGGUUAAGAGAGGACAUACUAAAAAGUCAUAGUUGGUACACUGAACUUACACUUAAAGGGUUUAGUUAUUUAUUUAUUUUUUUAUGUAUUUUUUCUGUUGUCUGCCCAAACGCAAAUGUAAUAUGUACAAAUAUUGCAUUUAAUGACAUUGUCAUAUGAAGUACAAACAUAUAUGAAACUUUUUAGAAAUUUAUACAAUUUCUGGCCCAGACAAGUAUGUAAAAU
Molecule: long non-coding RNA, 5787 nt
Organism: Cyprinus carpio carpio
Lineage: Eukaryota; Metazoa; Chordata; Actinopteri; Cypriniformes; Cyprinidae
Source: Ensembl